AAUCUGUUCGUAUAGUGGUUAGUAUAAGAGAUUCUGACUCUCUUGACCGGAGUUCGAAUCUCCGACAGAUUA
The sequence is a transfer RNA, 72 nucleotides long. It matches the Rfam family "tRNA". Rfam says of the family: Transfer RNA (tRNA) molecules are approximately 80 nucleotides in length. The record is from Rfam.